RNAcentral lists this ribosomal RNA (451 nucleotides) under Buchnera aphidicola (Tuberculatus pilosulus). RNAcentral describes it as "bacterial SSU rRNA". It matches the Rfam family "Bacterial small subunit ribosomal RNA", at positions 488 to 939 of the family's 1533-position model. The record is from RNAcentral. Lineage: Bacteria; Pseudomonadati; Pseudomonadota; Gammaproteobacteria; Enterobacterales; Erwiniaceae.
AGCACCGGCUAACUCCGUGCCAGCAGCCGCGGUAAUACGGAGGGUGCAAGCGUUAAUCAGAAUUACUGGGCGUAAAGAGCGCGUAGGCGGAAUUUUAAGUUAGAUGUGAAAUCCCUGGGCUUAACCUAGGAACUGCAUUUAAAACUAAAAAUCUAGAGUAUCGUAGAGGGAGGUAGAAUUCCAGGUGUAGCGGUGAAAUGCGUAGAUAUCUGGAGGAAUACCUGUGGCGAAAGCGACCUCCUGGACGAAUACUGACGCUGAGGUGCGAAAGCAUGGGUAGCAAACAGGAUUAGAUACCCUGGUAGUCCAUGCCGUAAACGAUGUCGACUUGGAGGUUGUUUCCUUGAGAAAUGACUUCCGACGCUAACGCAUUAAGUCGACCGCCUGGGAAGUACGGUCGCAAGGCUAAAACUCAAAUGAAUUGACGGGGGCCCGCACAAGCGGUGGAGCA